This 535-nucleotide long non-coding RNA is filed under the name Solanum pimpinellifolium. RNAcentral describes it as "long non-coding RNA (SPIM_LNC000212)". The record is from RNAcentral. Lineage: Eukaryota; Viridiplantae; Streptophyta; Magnoliopsida; Solanales; Solanaceae.
CACGACUUUCAGUUCUUCAAUACACAGAGACUGAGUGAGUUGUAUGAGAAGGAAGUGCACUAUCUUAUGCAGACACACCAGAAGAAUCAGGUUAAAGACACUAUAGAGGUGGAAGAAUCUGAAGAUGCAGGAGAGCCUUUAACAGCUGAAGAGCAGGAAGAAAAGGAGCAACUGCUGGAAGAGGGAUUUUCAAUGUGGAGUAGAAGAGACUUCAAUACUUUUAUCAGGGCUUGUGAGAAGUAUGGUCGCAAUGACUUUUUUUUUUAUUUGCACCGGGUGUCCGAGUCUCUUAGAGCCCCGACUAAUCCCGGGGGUGCACAGGCCCUCGGCAAGGAGUUUCCCGCAAGUGCACCACGCGUAUGGUCGCAAUGACUUUUUUUUUUAUUUGCACCGGGUGUCCGAGUCUCUUAGAGCCCCGACUAAUCCCGGGGGUGCACAGGCCCUCGGCAAGGAGUUUCCCGCAAGUGCACCACGCGUAUGGUCGCAAUGACUUAAAAAGUAUUGCUGCUGAAAUGGAAGGGAAAACAGAGGAGGA